Molecule: ribosomal RNA, 266 nt
Filed under: uncultured bacterium
Lineage: Bacteria
Description: partial 16S ribosomal RNA
Rfam family: Bacterial small subunit ribosomal RNA
Source: RNAcentral
GGACAACGAGUCGCAAGACCGCGAGGUUUAGCAAAUCUCUUAAAGCCGUUCUCAGUUCGGAUUGUAGGCUGCAACUCGCCUACAUGAAGUCGGAAUCGCUAGUAAUCGCGGAUCAGCAUGCCGCGGUGAAUACGUUCCCGGGCCUUGUACACACCGCCCGUCACACCAUGAGAGUUUGUAACACCCAAAGCCGGUGGGGGUAACCUUUUUGGAGCCAGCCGUCUAAGGUGGGACAGAUGAUUGGGGUGAAGUCGUAACAAGGUAAC